This 466-nucleotide long non-coding RNA is filed under the name Gallus gallus (chicken). Lineage: Eukaryota; Metazoa; Chordata; Aves; Galliformes; Phasianidae. The record is from RNAcentral.
GAAAAAUACACCACGUUUGUGUAAGUAUAAUGCUGUACAGAUGGUAAGAGACACACCCAUAUAUAACUGCAUGCCCUUUGGCAACUGACCCAUCAUUAAUUUUCCUAAUAUUUCCAUAAAGCUAUUUAUGAAUUCAAGGUUGUUCGUACAAGUCUUAUUUUGUAAAGCAUAAGGAAAUCUUACAGGAUUUAUGCAAAGACAGUCAGUGUUGGUGACAGUGAAGGGGUCAUAUUUAUCCGCAAUGACAAGCAUAUCUGGCACAGGAUACACCCUCAGGGCGUAGUCGUAGGCCCAGUACACAGGGCUAACAUACAGCGGAAGCGGUGUAAGGUGUCCUUGUGAUAAUAUGGUCUUUACAAAAUGAUUGGGAAUAUCCAUGCUGCUGCUAGGGAAGCGGACGCAGUUUCUGCACAUUUUGUUUACCAAAUCUUCACGAAAGAUAAUUAUUUCUUGUGUGCAAUACUGA